This 23209-nucleotide long non-coding RNA is filed under the name Coffea arabica (coffee). RNAcentral describes it as "long non-coding RNA (CARA_LNC007606)". Lineage: Eukaryota; Viridiplantae; Streptophyta; Magnoliopsida; Gentianales; Rubiaceae. The record is from RNAcentral.
UUUUUUUUUUUUUUUUUUUUCAAGUCCUGCUUGAUCCUUUGCGUUUUAGGAGCACUUGGCUUUGGCUAGUCCAAUUCUCAGGCAGACUUAACCACACUAUAUUGAGUUAAUCCACCCAAUCUCUCCUAGAAAGAGUAGGUUGGUCACUAAAAAACUGCAUUUAUCCAGUACCCCUAAGUACUUUGUCAGGUUCCAACUAGUGAGAAAAAGGAAUCAAAGGACAAAUUGAUGUCAGACGAGAAAAUGGCAGUGAAGCAAAAAAAGGUGAAAAGAAUGCAAUAGCACUCUUCAAAGUUCCAAUCAACCGUUCGACAUCAAACGCAGUACCGCUGCUUUUUCGAGGAUUUAUAGCCUCAAGCUUAGUUAUCAUCAGUGUCCCACGGGAAACAUGUAAUAAACGGUCUUCUCAAAUAGUAAUAGUAUCUUCUGCUAAGGUCUAAAAUUGUCCACAAAACAAACCACAGUGACAUUUUAACAACUGUUUGAGCGAUUUUGCAUGUAUGACAUGAAAUGUGAAAUCUUCUGCUAAGGUCUUGAGAUUGUCCAAGGUCCAAAGAACAGGCCACAGUGACAUUUUAACCACUCUUUAAGCGAUUUUGCAUGUAUUACAUGAAAUGUGAACGAGGACAUAGAGACAUACAGGAUUCCUGUGGACCAGCAUGACUUGGCUUGCUUACCAUCGGGUAAAAGGAAGCAACUCCAGUUUUCUUCGAAAUGACUAAAACUGGGAUAUAAUUUCUACUUAUGUGCAGACAGGUUGGUCCGUAUACCUAACGGUCUGCAAUGUUAUGUAGCAUGCAUGAAGGACAUUAACUUUUACCAUACUUUCUUUGUUCAAGGAAUCUUGGUUUGUCUCUUUUUUUUUUUUUCAAGAUGAUAACUGUUGUAUAACCUGUUUUAUCUUAAACUACAGGAAAUGAGAAGUUUAAAGAGACUUGUAUCAGGAAUUAGCAGGCACACAGACUUACUAGACUAAAGGAGUGUUUUGGCACAACACUUGAAUUUUUUUCGCUGCAGUAAGAUUUGAAUCCCCAUUUAUAGCCCAAGGAGACUGCCACUAAGCCAAUCUUAGUGGUUAAGGAAUCUUGGUUUGUCAUUGUCUCGAAAUCGAAAUCAACGAAAAUGUGGGAGCCUGGGUUGGAAUCAAUUAGCUUACGUGUAAGAACUGAUUGGCGAAAAGUUUCCAUGUCAAAAUCAAAAUUCUUUCAACGAUAUAGUUGCCAGCACGUUAAGUAACCUAAAUGCUCUAACUUCCAAUUUUCAUCAGCCUUUAGCGUGAUGUGAUGUAAAACGAAUAAUUCAGGAAAAAUAGAGAACUUUAACUUUUCUUGCACGCAAGUGUACAUUUGGUUCUCCAAUUAAGUACACAGGAAAGAAAGACUUUUCAUUCUCUGCCUUUUGAAAUCCUCAAAAGUUGCCGUCCUUGGCAUGCUGAACAUAGUCGUCCUAGGUAAUCUUUCCAUGGAAGAUCUCGUACACUAUAACUUUAAAAUGUCAAUUUUAUGACACAUACGAAUCAGGAUCCUUGACUUCUGAUAGCUCAAGAAUUGAUAUGUAUGCCAUUGAGUUGUUUGAAUGAUUAUACUUCUUCUCCUGCCUACUGCAUAACGCCUCUAUUUCUCACCUCGUUUCCUGCUAGGACCAUCCAACAGCCCGGGCUCUGCAGAUGGACCUAAGAGUCUUUAUAAGAGUCAAUCUGGAAGUUUAUACAUAUAUGAGACGUAGAGAAGAUGAUAAGAAGAAAUCAUGAUGGCAAGAAAUUGUUAAUCCCCUUAGGCUGAGAGACAAAAUAUAUUAGCUCUACAAUCAAUCAAAGCCUUUUUUUUUUCCCAUUUAUGCAACACAUCAUUACACCAUUAGGCUCUACAAUAAGCACAAAGCAACAAAAAGGAGGUAAAUACCAUCUAAACUUGCAUUUUUUCAGUCAGACUCCAAUUUUGCUUGGCACCUGAAAUAUACUUCAGAAUAAUAAAUAUGCCCUUUGUCUGGCAAGUCUGACGCACAUUACAUUUAUGCUAAAGUUCAAUUACACAAUUAAAUAGACGCUUUCCAUCUGAUGCAUUGUUGCAAAAUAGUAAAUCAAGUACAAAAUUGAAUCAGCCCAAGCACAAUCUAACAAAGGGGAAAUUUCCAUGUACAAACCCAAACUCGCUAAUCUACAGGAAGCAGCACUUGGGAAAACAGAAUAACCCCAAUGCUGACAUCAAUCAAUAUAUUAAGGUCAUCGGUUCAGCACUGUUUGAAUAGCAUUCUGUUGAGCCGUAGUUAAACUCUGCAAAUUGAGUUAUACAGGGUUCAGUGAAACAGCAUAAAAUUAUAGUCUGCUUAUGUUUAGCAAUAGUAUUUUCAAUGCUAACCAGACCUGCAGAAGGUUAUUAAAAAAUGGCCUAUUGUUCUGAGAGAAGUUGACUAAGAAGUCCACAAGAUAGUUGACCAGAUUAAUCUGCCAAUAUCGAGCGAAAGAAAUAAGUUUAAAUUAAGAAGGGCAUACUUUUAACCAUAUAUGAUAGUUAUAGAGCGCAGAUUUGCACCUCAUUAAGGGGGUCAGCACCACUGAGGAACUCAUCUUCACAAUCCUCAUCAUCCUGCACCAUCACACGAAACCAAAGUAGCCAAGAAUCCAGUCAAACAGAUGUACAGAAAUCAAUCAUUCAGAACACAAGAAAGCUGCAGCCAAUCAGUGAAACCUCAUUGAAAGCCUUUGCCAUUGCAUCAAGAUACUUAUGUGUAGGUCUACUAUGUGAUGUGGCACUAGCUGAAUAAAGCAACUCUUGAUCAAUCCCAGCAUCUCCAGUCUGAACCUCCUCCCAAUCACUAUCCUGAAAUGCCAAUUAGAGCAGGAAAAUAAAUUCCAAUUUAAACAGACAUCACGGAACCAAUACAAAAUUUACUUCAUAAAUACCUCUUCAUCAUCAUCCACAACUUGUUCAUGAAUUUCAAUCAGAGCAUCUGCCAAUAAAGCUAGUAUCUGAUAUUUUGAGUAAAAAGAUGGGGUCAAAUUAUUGAACCACAAAUAAACCACUUUGGUGUACAUUUACAAAAAAGAAUACGUUUCCACUUCCACUACUUCAUUACCUAGUUUUCCUACUUGCUUUCCUGUCAUAAAAGUUUAAGCAUAUACAAAGUUUCGAAAUUCAAAAUUAAGAAUAAAGGCAGUUGCCUGCUAUCAAUGGAAAGAGUAAAUAGCAUGAUCUAACAACAAAAGCGAAAUGAAAGACUAGAUUUAACUGACUGGAAUCUGCAUCCCAAUUAUUCCAGAGUCAGAGUCUUAUUCUUAGACAGAAGACACAAUAAGCUGCAAAAUGCAGGCAAAAAGGGUUAACAAAGUGACUUUGCAUGGAAACAUGCAACCAUAAUCACCAAUAUUACUUCUAAUCUCGAAACUAUGUAUCUCCUACAUAUAUGUUUAUCCCUAAACAUAUAACACCAGAAAAAAGUAUAAUUUUUGUAAGACUUUUUUUCCUGCUUUGCAUUUUGAUGGUCCACAAAAGUGCAAAGCCCCAUACCCUCAUGCUUCCAAUCUAACACCACUAGCUGGUCACAUAGCAUCAGAAUGUGAUUGGUUUAAAAAUUGACUUUUACAACUAUAGUGAUUGGAACAAGAAAUCACAAUGCACAUUCAUUCACAUUUCUGACAUCCGGACCAAAAGUUUAUCCACCCAAGAAGCAUUUUUGGUUGCAGAUAGCAUAGGAAGUACCUUUGCAGGAAGCGGCAUCAGUGUCCAGUGAUCUGGAGCUAGUUUAGCUCUUGAACGAGUAAUUAUUCCUGCAUUAGACUUCAAUUUUCAUAUGAAGCUGAUUAAGAUCUUGAACAAUGUCUCUAAGUGCAUGUGCUAGGAACAAAUUUAACCAACCUUAACUAGGUGGCCCUGGACAUCAAUCUUUUCCAAUUCAGCAUGCCUGGUGGAUAAUAGCAAAGCCAAUGCGGUGGUGGUUACUUUGAUCUGGUAUGCCCCCAAAAUUUCCCCUGAAUUAAAUAAAGCAUAAACUCAUCAGUUGGUUACUUGCUUCUGUACAUCUAUUCCUAGAAAAAUAUCAACAGGCUAUCAGUCAUCAGUUGGUUUACUACUGCUAUUAAGACAUUACUUCUAGGCAUAUUCCAGACAAACAAAGAAAUGGAAAUAGUAAGAGGCUAUCAUAUCAUUAAUAUUCUUCCUUCAAGCCUGCAAACUUGGUAGUUUACUUUAAAGACACAGAAAUGAAAGGUCGAAGGUUGUUUGUCAUCUAUUAAACAAGAAGGAGAGAAACAAUUUCCUUUAAAGUAUGUCCCAAGGUUUGAUUGAUUCCUAAACAAAAGAACAACUUACAAUACUAUUACUUAGAACCCCUGAGGAUCAGUGUAGUUCUUAUUUUAAUUGGUACAAAAUAAAUGAUCUGAUUAGUAUAACCACCUAGUCCUUGCAAAAAGAAACUGCCAUGUAAGUGCACACCACACGUUACCAUCACCACAGUUAACAGACAUGAACAAUGUAACAAACACUAUUCUCUUCUGCACAUAGUACAAACAAAUAUGCGCAUGCAACAUGAUGAUGACUCUAGCUUAGCUCCUGUUUCCAAAUCUUGAGAGGAGGACAAUAAUAACACUGAGGUACCAGCAGUAUCAAUUCAUGGUUAUUAUGAUAGAUUGCAGAAGAAGGGACAUAUAAAGUAGCUUAACCAAAUAAAAGAAGUCUGUAUCUGAACAACUAAAGAUGCCUGGGCCUGUGAGCAGGAUUAGUCCAAUCUAUCAACUAAACCUACCUUUCCCAUGCUCCCACAUGAUUUUCUGAAACAUGAUAAACUGAAUCUCAAAGCACUCAAACUACCAACAUAUCAUAUCAACAUGAAUCAUAAACCCACUGCCUUCUCAUUCUAUUUAUCAGCCCAAGAUUCAGCAAUUCAUCUAAACACAUCAUGGACAAUGCCUAAUUCCAAAUUCAUUAAUAAGGCAAGGCAACAUGCAAUUACUCUGGGACGAUAGACAUACAAGCUAUACAAGAAUAUCUGUACCAAACAAUGUGAAGAAGGCAAGCCUAUACACUCACCUUGCUGUCUAGUCCACUCAGACAUCACAUAAGCAAAGGAGUUUUUAUGGCCUUCAGCUGGAAUUGAGACCAGCAAAUCAAUAAACUUUUCAACGUUUGGGAGACUCAUAUGGGCCUGCACAGAAAAAUGUCUGAUGACCAUAGCUGCAGUUACAAAGUAGAUACUGGAAGCAAAAGAGACAGCACAAGUAAAAAUGGAAAAUGAACAAAUGAAAAAAAAAAGUUCAUGCAUAAAAAAGCUGACAAGCUGUAAUUUGACUGAAAAUCCAAUAAACAGAGAUAAGCAAAAUGUUUGAAUUUGAGCUUCCAUGGUGCAAGGGUCCAUUAUUCAAUUUUAAUAUGCCAAAAUUGCAUGUGAGAAACUCAAUUGUGUUGAAGUCCUAAAAGUUCAGAAGCAGUAUCAUUGCCUAAACUAAAGUCAAGAAAAGUGUUUCCUACCAGUCUAGCAAAAAUAAGGAGCAAUGAGCUUCUGAGUCCAGCAAUCUCAGAAGACUGCAUGCGCCUAAUAAGAGCAACAACCAGGUCUCUGAUAUGCAAUGCCAUUUGUGAAGGAAGAUGUAGGAUAAGUUGCAAAAUGAAAGAGCCAACAAAGAGUGAGCCAGAGCUUUCAAGAUUAGGAUCUAGCAACCUGCAAACAGAUUCUAACCAUUAGUUAACCCAAAACCAAGUACAGUAAUACAACAUAUGAUGGAUAAUCCCACCCUCUCCCUUUAGCCCAAUCUUCUUUGACAAGCAAAGAGGUAGCAGAGUAAUAAGUAACUCAGUGUUCAUAUUAUUUGGGUCUACCCACUAAAAACAAGCAUCAUAAUGGGAAAACAUCAUCACAAGUGUGUCCUGAUCAAUAAUCUCGCUUGACAAUUCAGGGCAAUCAAAUAAUCCUUUCAUGCUGAAAUCAGUUUCCAAUUGAUAGAAAGUGUCAUAGAUAGCAAGUUAGGCUAAUAGAAUUUGUUAAAACACAUUAGGGAAGAUAAAAAGUCACCCAGUAAAUGUCCUCUUCCUGAGUAGUGAAUAUUUGCACUUUCCUUUGAAGCUAGAGUGAACACACAAAACUGCAGAGAAAAGAACGUUGAUGGAAAAAUGAAAAGUAGAGAAGACAUAAAAUAUUUCUUAAUCCUCAAUGCAGAUCUGAAACUGUUGCAUCAUUGAUUCAAUAAACAUGAGAACAGCUCUCGUGCUCUGGAUAAGUCAACUUCAAAACAUGGACAUUCCAAUGAAGAGGUAGAAAAUGAAAGAAUCAAGAGUUCAUUGUCAUGUUCAAUCGGAAUUCUAGCACAAGAAUGAAGAAACAGAAAUUUGAAGCUUCAUCAAGAAAAAUAAAAUAGAAAAACAAACAGCGAAGUACCUUGAAGCUACAUCAAGCAAACUUCUCAUUGCGAACGCAGGAUCUCCACCCCACAUAAGUAAUUCUUCUUUCCCACCGGAAACAAGGGAUGCCAAGCACUGAGUUGCAUUCUGAUAGCAUUUAAGGCAACAAGAACUCGUCAUUUUCUAAAUUUGCUGCAAAAAAACCACUGAAAGUGUAGAUGUUCUAAGAUUGUACCUAAACAAGAAAACUGGGGAAAAAAUGAAGUAGCUAAUGAAAAGAACCUGCAUCUCACUAUGGUCAUCACUUUGAAGGACUAUUCGAGUGAUGGAAUCAAAAGAAACUUCAAAAAUUGCUCGUACAACAUCACUAGGAGCAUUCUGCAAAUUUAGUGUCUUUAGCAACGAACUUAAUGCAAAAAGUUUCAUUAAAAGCGAGGAUCUCCUAUAACACUUAAAUUAGAUUUAAACAGAACAGAUGAGCAAAAGUUGAACUCACCUUUAAUAACAUUGUCAGAAGAUCAAGAGAACCAGCAACUAAACCAUCCGGCUGCUGAUGUGGCUGCCAAUGGUCAACAAGUAUCAUUCAAUGCAAAGUACUGUAGAACCAAUAAGAUCUCAAUGUAAUAUUGACAGAAAGUAAAUCAGAGCCUACUUUAUUGAGAAUUGGUGUAGUAUAGGGUAAAACACGAGAAACUAAGGGAUGGAUACAACCAGGAGCAUUCUUUAUGGCCUGCAGCAGAAAACAGAAAGACAUAAUUAAGUGAUUGAGUAAACAUAAUGGACAGAGUGGGAGAUGAUACACCUCCACGCUGAUAUACUCAUAAAUGCUGCUCUUAAGCUGAACACAUUCUGAAGGGUGAAAUAUAUUGAUUGGGAUUCAUAACUAAGCAUCCGGAAGGGGGGGGGGUAAGAUGAAAAUACUAAUUUGUUCAAAAAAAUUAAACAUCCCCUUAAUUCUUCAAACUGAAAAUGGAAUAUAGAGAUGAUGGUUAGCCAUUUGCACAGCUCUUCAGUCUAUUCUUUGGUGAAUCAUACAUGUUUCUGUAUUCUUUCACAACUAGCAUAAUUACUUGUCUAAUUCUCAAGUCUACAGUACAUAGAAAGGGAAGCAAGCAUUGGUUUUUGCCAGGUCUCUCCUGAAAAUAGCCUCAUUAACCACUGAUGAGGAAAGUCACUGAAGUUUCAACCAGAAAGUUCCACUUCACAGCCUUUUCUUUAACUCACUAUCGUGAUUCUAUCACCCAUCUAAGAUAAAAAAUAAUAAUAAUUUUAAAAAUAUAGAUGGCAAAAUUCUGAAACGAUAGAUAACAUGACAUAAGAUUAUAGAUAUGUUAGACACAUGUUGCUUAAUGUCUAGCACUAAAAUGUCAAACCAAGAUACAGGUCUGAUAUGAAAACUUAAUAAGCAGCUAAACUGUCAAAACGACUGAGGAUUCCAUAUACUUCAAAUGACGCAACAUCAAAGUCUAUCAAAUUCUUUGUGCAAAAAACAUCAAAUCACUGAACUUCUGUGAAAGAUGAUGAUGCUUUCCAGACACAGAAGAGCGGAAGGGAUCAAAUUCCAGAGGUUUAGGAACUUCAGUUUUGAAAGAUUUUGGGAACCAUUCAAACAAGUUCCCACUGCCUGUUUGUUGAUUUGAACUCUUAUCCCACAACUGAAAGCAUGAACUCCUUAACAAAAGAAACAAGUGAAAAUUCAACAAUUCCUCAUUGGUUUAUAGUUUAAAAUGAAAAUUUCUCCAGUAGAGCAAUGUCAGCUUAUCUUUGUAUUCAAGUUUUACUAAAGCAACAAUCACCAAGAUCUUCAUAAAAUGACCAUCAAAGAAGACUGAAGACAAGAUUUAGAUAGACAGGAUCAAUAAAAGGAAAGUGGUGCAACCCAAAAAAUGAUUUUAUCAGAAAAUUUAAGUUUUUUAUUUCAGUUACAGCUCAAGGGUCAUAUCAUGCACCAAAUUGCACCCCUUGUGUAUUAAACAUAAAACACGAAUAACUUCCAGAACCAAAGGCAAAUGGGAAAAUCACCUCCAAAACCUCAAUUGCAUCUAUGCUGAUGAAAGGGUCAGAAACAUGUGAAGCCCACAUGGUAAGAAUAAUUGGAGAGAGAACAGGUUCUAUCGAAACUAAUGCUUUAUGACCUGAAAUUUAUGACAAUGCAAAAUAAAGGCAGGAAAUAAAUGGAGAUCACUGAAGAAAUCUUAGGGGAAUAAACACUAUAAGAACACAACUCGUUUCAAAAUCAACCUGCCGUAGCUGCUGCUCGUAAUGUUUCAAGUACUAGAUGCAUGGUUUCAUCGGAGGCCUAAUAAAGCAGAUAGCAACUGUAAGAUGCAGCUUCAACAUUAAUGAGAAACAUCCCAUCGUGUCUACCAAAAAAGCAGUAUUGUAAAAGUGCAACUGCUGCAUUGCCUGGUUAAGUAGAUUGGUGAGUGAUGAAAAUAACUCCAAUAUAAGAGGCUGAAGCACUUCACUUUUUACAUCAGGCAAAAGCUGCGAGAGUGCACGACAGGCACCAACUUUCACAGGUGGGGGCCUAUAAAUGGAGAAGUAUAGUCAAGUUAUAAUUUGAAAGUUGGUCCCAUAGUACAGAAAGAUAAGGCAAUCAGGUAAUCAGGUUCUUACACAUCCAUGCCAACUGCCUUGAUACCAGCAACUAAGAAAUGCUCUACAACAUUACUUUUGAUCUGAAGAACACAGGAGUUAAAUGAGGUCAAAUAUUCCACUACACCGGAAAAGGGAAAAUAAACAGGACCAGUAGUUACCACAGAGGAGAACUUUGCAACUGCUGAAAACAGACGAGCAUAAAGAAAAGGAUACUCAUGCACCCCUGCAAGAUAGACAGCAAUAUCAACUCAAUAGGGUUAGACCUACAUACUCCCAACCCCGCCUCCAAAAUAAGAAGAACUCUGCCACCAACCAAAAAAAAAAUUAUCUUGUGUAUAUAUUUGUACAUGUGUGUGUAUACACACACUUGUAUGUUAACAACCAAUUCACUGCAUUGACAUUAUUUCUCCUUUAGUCCGACGGCUAGCAGAGACACCAUUCUAUUGAUCUUUCGCACCAUGGGGUGAGAAUCUAAUUCCAUAUUCAAGAAAGAGUAGUACAUACUGCACAACAGAACCUACCUGUUGCCAUGUCUUCUAUGAAUAUUUGCUCCAUAACAUUUCCUAGACUGACUUCUGAAACUCCAGAAUCCUGCAAAGUAGGAAAUGAGCGAUUCAGAGACUAGAUGCAAUUUUAUAGCCCAAUUUCCUUUCUUUUGUUGAGUUUGCUAAUUUGACAGGUGCCCUUAUUUGCUUAUAUCAGAAGGCAGAUAUAAUCAUAUUACUUCAUGUUGUGCUCUUAUAAAACAUCUGUUCUUAUCAUAUUUAUAAAAAUGUAAAGAAGCUUAAGCACAAACCUCAGCCUCAAGCAAAUGUUCUGAUACAGCAGACAGAGCAUAAAGGGUAGCUUCGCGCAUCUGCAAAAUUCAUUUCUCAGGUAAGCUAAACAUGUACUCUACAUUUAAAAAUCAACUUAAGUAGUUCCACGUUUGUCCUCGGAAAAAACAGGCAUCGAAAGAGAAAAAGUUUGACACUUGCACCCACUAUAACUAACCGGCAAAAAAUGUUAACCAAUAAACAAACCACUAUUAAAAGGAUUGAUAGUGAUAAACAAGUAGAUGUCAUUACAGACCAUGAUCAGAAACCAGCAAAAUAAAUCAACAACUUUUUAUAUUACAUGUCAUCUUACUAGAACUGGAACACUAAAGUAGCCCCAUCAUAGGACUCAAGCAUGCUUUUUUCCGUUUAAUAGAUAAAUACUACCCAUAUGCCGUAUCCUAAAGCAAUUAACAGCAGCAUGAGACAUAGGAUCAGUUACAUCAGAUCACUACACAUAAAAGCUCUCUCCUAUCCAAAACUUUCCUCCCCAUUUGACCUAAAAGAGAAGCACAGUGCAAAAUCAUACAAAAUCACUAACUAAUCACAGCUCUAACAUAGUCUAAUAAGGGAAGUGGGGGAAAAAACACAAAGAUUUGUCUCAAUCGAGUAUCCAAAAGGGUUAAGUGCAGCCAUCAACAAGGCAUUCUAGCAAUUAGAAAAGUAUUAGCAAAGUACAUUGAUGAGUAUGUAACAAACCACUUACAUUGAUGAGUAUGUAAAAACACAAAGAUUUGUCUCAAUCGAGUAUCCAAAAGGGUUAAGUGCAGCCAUCAACAAGGCAUUCUAGCAAUAGAAAAGUAUUAGCAAAGUACAUUGAUGAGUAUGUAACAAACCACUUACCCUCCACCAACUAGCAGCACCAGCAGCUUUCUCUGCUUGGGACUCUCUAAAUCUUCUUUUUGCAGAAUCAAGCACAGCAUCUAUGCCCAAAGCACCAAAAGAACUAAUCACCUCCUCAAUGAGAAGUGCACCUAGAAAGGAUUGAACAAUUAGAGAGAGACUUGUUAUAAGAGCUCCAAUUGGCCAAGAACAAGAGAAUCACAGCAAUCUACGUGACCAAGGUCAAGGAGUAUCAAGAAUUAUGGUCAAAUUAAAAAGGUAACACAUUAUUUAUACAGACUAAUGUAUUUGAAAAUGACUAUCUAGGGCUUCAGAAUCCAUUACCUACUUAAAGAAGGGGAAAGAAAAACCAAUUUCUUCAGUAGGUUAUUUUUAAACUCCAGAUAAGCAAAUUAAGUUAUCAUCACACGUAAAAUAAGUAUACUUCCACUAUCAUCUUUUCCACAUCCUUACCCAAAAAAAAAAAAAAAUUCUAAACAAAAGCCACAGCUGAUUUUCAUAUAGUUAUCUCUGAAUCCUAAUAUUUGAUUAUCCCAGCAAAACUACUUUUCAGGAAUACCUACCAUAUGCAAAACCAAGACAUGGAUCGAAAUAUAGUUUCCAUGACAUGAAGAGCAAUAUGGUUUCCAUUACAGAAGAUGAUACAUAAAAAUUACAUCACCACAGCGUAUAUGCACAUCACUAAGAGUCUAGGACGCUAAGGAAACUCUGAGCUUGUUAGGAGAAAAAUUUGUGCUAACGCGACUAAGAAACAACACCAACUUUGCCCUCUACUGAACUUCUCUCAGAAUUGACUCUCUGCAAAAGGAAGGGAUAAAAAGAAAGGAAUAAUUUCUCUCAAGUUUUGCCUUUCUCAUGCUAAAACAUAGAACACUGAUCAUCUAAAUGAUUUUCAGUUUUGUUUAAUAAACGAAAACAGGUAAAGAUGGUGUCUGAACUUAGGAGUCCUAUCUAUACUAGCGAAUGACCACAACCAAAUCCCCUGCACAAAAGUUUUAAUUGAAUUAGUUGAUUGUGCAAGAAGAGAGGGCAAAUAGAAGCAAAUCUUCACAUAGUGCAAGGAAGUAAAACAAGUGCAACAGCUACAGCUCACCAGACACACGACAACUAUAAGUGUUGUCAUCCUCAUCAGCGACAUACUGAUUAGCAUCCAGAGACCACGUAUGGACCUAAAGCAAGUUGCAAGAACAUUAUGCAAGAGUAAAACUGACAAGCAGAAGACUAAUUGAACUUCCAGAAAUGACAAUUAGACUGGAGGCAGUAUUACAAACUCGUUUAUGCAAAAAAAUAAGCUGAACAUAUAACAACUACAAGAUGAAGUAACAUAUAUCCCUCGAAGCAGUUUCAACAAAAAUUACAGCAAAAAGCUCUGACACCUGCUCUAUGGAAAUUAACAAGUAAUCCACCGAAACCCGCCCGGCCAUAAUAUGGCAGAUAGAAUGUCUAACUCCAUAGUUCCAGAAGAUACAAAUUUCCAUUCUUUAUAGAAUGUCUAACUCCAUAGUUCCAGAAGAUACAAAUUUCCAUUCUUUAAGGCAUAUAGCAGUUACCAAUUGUAGGGAGUCAUGCAAUACAUGUGAAAUAGAAAUCCAAAAAUAAUCAUCAUUUAACUUCCAAAAACUCAUUUACCAAACUUGCGUGGAGCAAAUUAGGCGAAUUUGUUAGGUCCAGCUGUAAAAGAUAUAUACAGAUUGGAUACUAAAAGUGAACAGAGAAAAUAUCACCUGUUGUUCAGUCAUCUGCAUAAAGGAAACGGUAUAGUACACCAACUCCUUCACAUUAUUUGCAACAACCUGCAUCAAUAUAUUUUUAAGACAUGAAAUCAGAUUACAUGUAGAAAGCAGAGCUGCAGAUCAUAAAUGAUAAAGAAUUUCAAGAAUGACCUAAUAACCACCUCUCCAAACUUCUUGCUACCCACUAUGGUCAACAGGGUCUCAAAUAACUGCAAGUCCAAAUAAGCGGCUUUCAGUCAUGUUGGACAAGAAAUAUGUUAUUAUAUACACCAAAUACCCGGUGAAAAGAGCAAGCAAGAAGGAAGAAGUAAACAGUCAAAAAGCAACAAACAGAAGUUACAACUACUUGAACAAUGCUAUCCUGUAUGGCAUACAAUUAGGAAGGAAACAACUAGAAGAGGAGAAGAAGAAAAGGAGAGAGAGAGAGAGAGAGAGAGAGAGAGAACGAUUUAAGUAUAUUCCUGCUCAACAAGAUUUUUUGCAUACACUUAAAGAAAUAAAUGUACGAAUGAAAACUUAUUCCACAGUCUCAGUCAAAAACAGGUCUAAAGAAAAGGCCGCCGGGGGGGAAGCAGACUCAAUUCAUCGAGCAACUAAAAUGUUCAUCUUCAAAUUUCUUUACACCCAUCAAAAAGACUUUUAUCAGGUUACAGCAGCAGGAGUCCUAGAUCACAUCCACUGAGUACGGAAGUCCUUCUGGUGGAAAAUACCAUUUCCAAUAUAAGCCAGAACAACCAAAGCAAUACACGAGACAGAUGAAAUACAAUCAUCGAUGUAAUCCACAUUAUACAAACUUCAAUAGGAAGAAUCAGACGAGUUCUCUCCAAAAUAAAAUCUUCCAAGUACCAGAAAAGAAAUGAACUGGCAGACUGAAUUUCCAACUAAAAGUCUUGCUUUAAUAGACAAUUUAAACUUGGUCUCCCACCUCGCACUUCCAUACUUGUAGCUCCUUUCUCUUUUCAGCAAUUAAGGUGACAUCAUUUUUUAAACUUCUAUGUUGUCAAGUUUUAAGAACAGAUGCUGAUAGAGCUAAAAAAGACUAUCAUAUUAUCUGGAUAUAUGUAUGUAAGAAUUUCACUCAUCAAACAAAAAAUGUUUGCAGUAGCGAUUCUAUUUAAAAAUUUUAAUACCUAAGUUGCACUAAAAAUGUCAGGAAAAUGAUGCAUAUGCCAUGCCAUGGCCAAUAAUGUGACAUACAAGAUGGUACCAUACAAAGAUGGCAUUAAUUUAGCUUCUCUAGAAAUGAAGGCACUUUAAGAGUACAAACUAUUUCAAGAAAAAAUAGUAAACAAAUCAAGGAGAAAACAUGCAAUCAUAAUAGCAACAUCAAGCUUUAAAAGUUCCUAAGCAUAUAACCUAUAUAAGGUGGGAAGCCAUAAAUUGUAUACUCAAUCCAACCAUUUAGUAUACAUAAAAAUCCUCAUCUUCAUCAGUAUUCAGCUUAUAUUUUAGAAGCUAAGCAUAUCAUAAGCCAUUUACAUACAUAAACCAAGGUAUUGCUCUACUUAAAGAUCAGGAAGCAUAUGGAUGCACUAGCUAUGAGUGCACUGAUGUCACAUAACUUCAAUGUAACUUUAACUAUUUUACAUUUUUACCUGCAUAACAUAGGAUUCUAGGCUUUUCUCCGAACCAUCAGAAUCAUAUCUUCCAUCAUAAGAAUCUUCUGCACCUUCAAUUGAUGCUCGUUCAUAUACUCCUAGUGAAGAUACAAAGGUCUGCCAGAGUGGCCCCAAGAUCACUAAGAUGUCACCACAAUAACAAAAGAAAGAAUCAAAAACCAUAAAUGGAAAAUCACAAAAUUUUUUCUCAAAUUUGGCUAUUGCAAGUAUCAUACUGCUAAACUCAUAUCAAAAUAAGAAAGUUAUACCAGUAAAUUGAGUUUCCAUGAGGCUUGGGAAAUUCUGUAGGAACUGAUUCAAGCACUUCAAAACCUACUUAUAAAAAAGUUUUAAGAUAAUUUCAGGGUUGACCAUUUAAGAUUGAAAUAUUAAAAAAUGAAACGUUAGACGCAUAUGGAGCUGUACCUCCAUUCUGAUGCUCCAGUCACCAGGGUCUUCAGAAUGUACUGGAGGUCUAAGGACAACACAAAACUGAUCUAACCAUAGCUGAAGCAUUUCUGACAUCAAAGCAGUUGUUUCUGCCUAAUUACAGAAACUCACAAUCAGCUAAACAGUUCAAAGGAUUAGAAUUUUAUAAGAGUAGCUUUGAAACUUCAAGAGUAAAAUUCUGAAGAUACCUUAUAUACACCACUCAUACUCCCAAGAACAGAGGUAAAAGAAUAUACUAUGGAAAAAGCCUUUAAGCGAAGGGAUUUGUCAUACACCUGCAUGAAAAAUUCAACUAGUUCCUGAGUAAUACUCAGGGAAAAUUGAUCCCUAAGCUUUAUGCAACAUGCCAAAUUCACAGCUGUCAUUCUGAAUUUUGGAAAAAUAGGUAAUAAGCUAGUUCCAAGUUGUUUACUGUAGAGUAACGUAAUAUUCGAUAAGAAGCAAACUCUAACUUAUAGUAAUUAUUUUUGGGGGAGAGAGAGAGAGAGAGAGACUGUAUCUGGUAUAACUGCAACUUCACUUCUUUCUAACUAUUUAAUAUUUCUGCUGCAUGUUAAACCUAACAGCAGAUGUCAUUGUCAAAAUAUUAAUAUCGCAACAGCAAGCAUAUAUUCUGCCACUUUCCCAUCAUAUAACUGCUUAGUGCACUUGGAUGAAUGGAGAAGGUGGAAAGAGAAGGAAAUGAGGGAGAAAUAAUUGUUUGUACGCCCGCACCAACUGGCAUAAGCAAAUAAUUGUUUAGCCAAAGAUGGAUUUUGAGCCAUGGAAUGAAUCGAGGAACUAAAGAAAAGAUACAGCAGAAGUUGCUCAGAGAGCUAUAAGCAAAGCGCUGGGAAUGGAAAUGCCCGUAGAGGUAGUAGCAAGCGCAGCGCAGUAAGGGUUGGAAAGCCAUUAUGGUGGCCAUAGAUCACUAGCAUGUGAGAAGCAAGCAAUACCAACCUCUGGUACUACUUUUUUCCUCUGAUUUGAUAUAAUAAUAAACUUUUCUACAUAGACUUUUACACUUCUGGUUCAAACAAAAAUUCUUGUUACCGAUUGUCAUGGGUAGUAUAUACCAAAGUCGCUGAACUUCACUCCAGGUCUAGAAUGAUUUUUACAUAAUUAAAAUAAAUCAUUUCAAAAAGAACAAGCCUAAUAUACAAGCAUAAAAUUCCAUUUUGGAGAUUCCAAGAUAUGGUUAGAAUUCUAAAAAUUUCUAGAACAAAAACUAACCUGAGGAGAGGAUAUAAUUGCAUGCAAACAAGGGAAUAAAACAGGCAAGAGUUUUGGCACCAUCUUAUCAUCCAAGUCUGCAGAGAGAAGAGCCAAACAUCUUAAAGCCCCAUGUACUGCACUACACAAAAAAAAAAAAGAUGUCAUAUUCAUCCUCCACGGAGCUGGUUUACCACAACAAAACACAAACAAGAAGCAAAAGCUACUUGAUACAAGUUGUGCGAACCAUACCAGCAUUCACAUUAUUCUGCUCAUUCAUCAGCUUCAAAAGAAAUGGUAAAAGGUCCGGCCAAUCCUCUGGCCAGUCAUAAUGAGCAACAGAUGCAACAGCCACACUAACUGCAGUGCAGAUUUUUUUAUGAGGAUCAUCUACUGAAGCCAGGAGAAGUCUACGUAUCGUGGCCUGAUAAUACAACUUGUAGGAAAUUAGGAACAUGAAAAGAAAAGGCAGAGAUCUGUAAAUCACAAAUAGUUUGCUCAUAAAUAAAGGAAACUAAAAACUAAUAUUGACGGAGUACAAGACGCUAAUCAAAGUGAGCUUCUGUCUCUUCCACUAUAUUUAUCACAUACAUUCCUUAACUAUGAAAUACACAACUCUGGAAUUUUGAGGGUAACAAAAAGUGACAGAGAGACAGAGAGAUAGGAGAACCUUCUCAUCAUUUGAAACAACAGGAUGCUCAAAAGAUUCUUCAUCUUCAUCCCAAUGUUUCUUAAUGAAUUGCUUUAGAAGAACAGCAGCUAAGUAGAAUCAAGUUAAAGUACACAAAUUAGAAAUAGAAAAGACAUGCAAAACCCUUAAAUACUUAGAAGCCAAAUUAAUUCAGCUCUGUCAACAGAUUAGUAGUGCAGUGCAUAUACUAAUCUGUCUGAGAUCUACAAAAAGAUAAUUCACUUCUAAAGAAGGAUAUCUGACGCAGCCCUGGUGAUAGCUCCCUGUUUGCAGCAACUUUGGAUAACGCACUUCCAAAGCCUUCAAAAAAGAUAAGCAAAGAAAAAUCAAUAUCUUGUCCUUACAAUCAUAAAAUACAUAGACUUCUUAAUCCAAUGGCACUCAUUCAUCUAAAGAAAAUAUUCCUGCCAUACAAAACCCCAGUUCUACGCAAACAGUGGAUUAAACUGCCUCAGAUGGUGAUGGAGAUUGUACAAAGUUUGUACAAUCAAAUCACUUCAAGUAUGUCACUUUGUUUAAGGGUUUGUUUAGGGAGCUAAACCAUAGAAAGGAAAAAAAAAAAUCAGUCUUGAGGGCCUUAAAUUAGGAAAAAGAAAUAAUGUGAUCAUCUGAAUUCAGUACAAGUGCCAGAUGGCAUGUGACAGGUGACAGGAUGACAGAAACGGUUUUGAACCCCUUUUUGUCUCAUUCUGAGUUGAUGACACUUCAACUUCAUCAAUUCAGAAUCCUCUUGAUACUAGAUACCAAAUAGAAACAUCUCAAAUUACUCAAACUGAAAUGUGACCAGUAACUGGAUGCUGUAAAAAUUAACAACCAAAGUAGUAACUGAACCAGCGAGCUGGGGCCACAAAUAAAGGCCUUUUCCUUGUUAAAUAUCUCUCAUUUUUAACAAAAAUUAAAACCUAAUAAACUUAGCAUUAGCUUUUUAUCUACAAAUACAAAUUUGACCUAAUGAAAAAGCCAUUUUUUCUCGCAAAAUAUCAAGAACCCAGAAUUCACUAGAAAGAUCAUUCAUUAUUACACUGACUGUACAAUAUUUCAUAAUGAGCUAAUGAAUUCACAAUAAAGUUCAUUCAUUUCAAGCGAGGCAGAUAAAAAGUGCAAUUUUCCAAAAUAUGGAAAACUCAGAACUGAAUUUAUAAUAAAGUUCAUUCAUUUCAGACACAAAAUCAGAAACAAUAAACAAUGCAUUGGAUUUUAGCUACAUAUAUAGGUUUGAGCAAAAAGAAAAAUAAACAUUUUCUUCACAAAAUGUUGAAAACCCAGAAUAAAAACCACAUAAAGUCCAUCCAAUUCCACCAUAAAUCCAAAAAAUAGUAAAUUUGGCACUCCAUUGUUGGGAAAUAUAUACAAUCUGAGCUAAUUUAAAAGAAUUUAUGUGAAUGAGAACCUGCUUGAAGGGAGACCUGGUGAAGAGAGGCUUCAGCAAGGGACCGGACUUUCUGAUCAGUAUCCAGAGUGGCAUUCAAGCAACUGAUGAGCCACUGCUGUUCUUGAUCCAUUUUUACUACUGAUGUAGGCAAAUGUGGUGGAUAUCUAUACAGCAAACUAUGUUCUUUUUUUCUUUUUUCUUUUUUUUUUUGGAGGGGAGAGUGGGAGGUGGGGAGGAGAUUAAGGGGUUUGGACCCUUUUCAGGAUUUGGAAUUCAGGGAGAGAUUAAGGGGAAAUGGGGGAAGAAAAAGAGGUGUGGGUUUUCCAAUUUGAGCAGUGAGCUAUGUACAACCUCAACUUAGCGGUUAGCAGGGCAUAGGGUUUUUGCGUUCGGAAGGUUUAAGAUUGGCCGGACCAGAAUCCCGGUUCAGCGGUGGACGCCUCAUAUUUCCGCGCCAAUUCAUUCGUUCUCACUUAUUUUCUUUCUCCCUUUUUUUUUUUGUUUUCAAAUAACUUCUUCUGAGGGUAAUUUCAAUUAGGCAGUUAAUUUUCACAAUGCUAUCAAGACAACGCGAUAAAAUGCAAGGCAAGACAAAAAGAAUAGGGAAAAGCUAGUAUAUAUUUUACAAAACGUUAUACCUUAUCCAAUUAAAUGUACUCUUACUUCUAAUAUUGUUUGAGUGCACGUAACUAUGAAAUCUAUAAUAUUUCAUCUAAUUGUAAUAAUUAAUAUUCGUAGUUACAUCCUUUAGAUUUUUAUUUUUAUUUUUUUUUGCAACCAUCAACACAUUAUUCAACACUUUAUUCUUGCUUUUGGUCACAAUUUUUUUAAAAAAAAUUAUUUUUUAAAAAAAAAAAGAAAAUUGUGUGUAAUAACUAUCACAAGCUAUAGCGUGUGAUUUGCAUAAUAAAGGUUGAGCUUGUUUAACUAUUUUUAUUCAUUUUUUCUUCAAGGCUUUUUUCAUUGAUAUAGAAUAACUUCUUUGUUUGGAUUGCCUCUUUCCAAAGGAAAAUUGCUACAUUUUUCGUAGAUACAUUUUUUAAUCAUCUUUUUACUUCACAUAUAUUAAAUCGUUACCGUAUAUUUUCUAUAAAAAGUUCAGAAAAAUACAAUCCAAACAAAGUAUUUUUCUUCCUUUAAAGCAUAUUUCCACUGAUGUGCAUAGAAAUCACUAUUCAAGACUUCAAGCUAGUCUAUUUUUCCCAGAUUGAUCAAGACUUUCUGAGCUAUCCUCUUAGAAGAAAUACUUUGGUAGUGCUUGAUCAGCUGUUCAGUCAUUUUUACUCCAGACAAUGAUUUGAAAAUGGAAAAAUGGUAGUGCUGGAAAAACACUACUACUAGUAUGAGAGGAAUAGAGGAGUAGAUAGAAACAGAAUAAAGAAGGAAUGUUUACAUGCUAAUAAUUAAACCGGAUGACUUCAUAAGCCCAAGAAGCAUUAAACUCCUCAAAUAGCUGAAGAAACCAUUAUUGUCAAUAGUCGAAAUGACCUAUAAAACAAGAAAUUCACAGAAAUCUAAAUUUGGCUGCCUAUUAAUCUUCCUGAUCACAAAAGUUGUUGAUGAAGUUAUUCCCAUUUGCUCUUAAUUUGAUCGUCAUGCAAGAAAUGAUAUUCCAUUACCAAAGUCCCAUCCAUUCUCCUCAAAACAAACCUUUCAACCAAAACAUAGAGGCCAAAUUCUCUCCAUUCAUCACUUUUCUUGAACUCCUGUGCCCUUGUGAUCCUCACCUGUCUAUUCUUCCCACUUCUCCAUCCUUCUCUUUCUUGCUCCCAUUUCAUUCUUUCCACAAUUUCUGGACUCAAACCAACCCUUCUUUUGGCUCCUCCUCCAUCAGAAAAUCCGAACCAUAUUGCCCCCUCAUCUACAAUUCCCUCGUCCCAUUCAGCCUUAAAACCACCAACAUAGACAGCUUCGUUUUCAAGAACAACAUCCACAGUUAACUGUUUUCCUUCAUUAUCUUCUUUGUUAGAGUUAGAGCAAGAGAAAAUCUUCUUCCACUGUUGCUCCAAUGUCAUCACGUAAAACAUUGAAUUCGACAUCUGAUAUCUCCGCAUAAUGGUGCCUUCUCUAACAAACAUGAAAGGACAGUACCACUUCCCAACGACAAGAGUUUGAGAUUCCUCACAUUUCAGGGGGAAAUCGAAUCGCGGCAUGCAGGCUCGAAGAGCUUUAUCAAGGCCUGGAGCUUCAUCUAACAUAAAUUCUGUCGAAAGGCGAGCUUUCCAGCCAACUUCGUUAAUCCUCCUCAAUGGUUCAGGAGGAAAACCACCAUCCACAGUAGAUAAUCCGGCAAAAUAACGACCAGAUCUUUUAACAAUUUUGAACUGUUGAUAAACGCUGCUUGGAUCCAGUGGCCUUGGUCUUACAUCUUCGAUACAGCAUGUGUUAUUGCAGCUUAAUUCCUUUGAGCAAGUUAAAGCUUCCCUGAAUACGCAAUUUUGGAUUUUACAAAAAAAGGUUAGAAUGUGCCUAAUGCAAAACUCUAUAUUUAAGUAACAAAACUAAAAAGUUCCAAUUACCGAAGAUAAUCCAACAAACCAAACAAUACUAGAAUUUUCUUAUAAUUCCUCCACCUCUUCUUUGACCCCCAUCAAGUUCAUCUAAAAAUAAGAACAUCGUAGAAACCAUGGAAGUAGAACAAAGUAAUUAACUCAAGAAACUGGUGCUAGAAAAGAUUGUUACAAUGUAGUAGUAUAGUACCCUGAAAAAGGUUCAUCCCGAGAUAUGACAUAGUAGAGAUUUGAAGAAAGCGGCUGGUUAAGAACUGGGAUGAACAUAAGAUGAUCGUACACAUUUCUGUAAUAUCUGUCACCAUUUGAGUAGGUUACUACUCUCACUAUAGUCUUAAUGGUUAGACUAUAAUUCUGCGGAAAAGGCAGGUCCCUUACACGGUCAUUAUCAAAUGAACACAAUCCAAAACAGCAAGUUUCAACCUUUCUAUCUUGAAUUACUAGGAAACCUGAAUGUGGCCCUUCAGGAAGUGAUGAAAGGGAGUCUGGAGAGUUCUUGAAGAAAGAUUUAGGCCUUGUUACAUACAUGAUGGCGUACCAAUCGCAAAAAGGUUUGCUGUACUAACAAGCUUGAUGACAGAGAAAUAAAAGUACUGAUCAGAUGACUAAAGAAAGGGUUUUCUAUGAUUACUGGGGAUUUUGAGAAUCAAAUCAGCACCAAAAUUUCAGGGAAUUUGAGGAUAAACUUUGAGGAGAUCAAAAUAUCACUUAUCCAUCGUGACUAACGUCCCAAGAGUCCCGCAAGCGGAACAAAAGCCUACAGAAUAGGAAUGGCAACUGAUUCGUUAUAUUCUAUUUGGUGCAGCUCUUCUUCUUUCCCUUACCAUCACGCCUGCCUGCAGAAUAGUGAAAACAGUUCGUUGCAUUGUGAUGUCGUAACCUUCGUCGGUUUGAUUGGGUGAUUCUUAGUAAGGCUACUGCGAUUUGAUAAUUUGGAUAUGUCUAAUGAGAUUGAGACUUUGCAUAGAGGACCAAAAAAUUCAUAGACAGAAUCUGUAGACUUGCAAAAAUAUUUUCCGGCAAACGGCAGCCAGUAACAAACAACACAUCAUGGAUACUUUCCGGUGAUCUACCACUGAAUGCUAUUAAUUCCUGGUAUUCCUAUUCCAUUAUCCAUGGAGAGUAACACUAGAAUCAGUACCAUGUCUGGUGAGGAUGAUUGAAAUAGUAUGUUAUUACAAACUUCCAUCCAUUCUGUUCAGUAUAAAACAUUCAAUGAAACACAGCACCAAGUUCUCUCCACUCAGGCACCCUGAGAAUUUUGCAUUAAUCUGCAGUUGUGGUAUGAAUACUAAUGAAUUCUAUCUGCCUGCUCAGUACUAACGCUGCCACAGUUAAAGUUCUGCUUUGGAAAGAAAAUUAAGAGUCCUAAUCGAAUGUGGCAAUUAUUAUGCUCAAUCUUUGUUUUUCAACUUUCUUCAGCCCAUUAUUGAUGAUUCGAGGUGGAAAAUGAUGGGUCAUGCCAAAGUUUUGCCUGGUUUCAAUCUAGAAAUUGAGCAAAAUAGAAUUUUCUAGACAAGCACCGGGGAAACAUUGAAUUGUUUUAUACAAACCUCAGCAACGUGGCCGAAGAGUAUUACUGAUUACAAACAUGUAAAAGGACAUUUUGCUUGGACAGAUGGGAUUUCAAGAAAACAAACUAGAAUCAUGGAUAAGUUUGUAGUACAUAAUUAAGAAAUGCUAUUACUCCCUGGUUGCUCCUUAAACAUAGUACUAGACUCUUAUCCCACCUCCAUUUUAUCUGGUGAGAGUGUAGGAGAUCAUAUGGCACCAGCAAACUUCCAUCCAUUCUCUUUAACACAAAACUUUCUACCAAGAUAGAGCAACCAAAUUCUCUCCAAUCACCCUUGUCCCCAAAAUUUUCUUUCCUCUCAACUCUCACUUGCCUUCCUUUCCCACCUAACAUUCCAGAUCUUCCUUGCUCGCAUUUCAUUCUUUGAACUAACUCCACACUCAGACCUACAUUUGCUUCUUCUCCACCUCUAUUGAUGCUCCUAAACCAUAUCUUUCCUUCAACUACAUUUCUCUCAACUAGUUAAGUAAAUAUUAUAAUUUCAUCCCACAUAUUUUUGCACAUCUUGAUUAAUCGCCAUAACGGUAGAUGCUUUCCAUGUAUUUUCCAUUUUAGAUAAAAACUAGAUUUAUGUGGAUAUUUUGAAAGCUUAUGAGAUUGUAUUAUUAUGCACAAGCACAGAGGGUUGAGACAUUUACCCAAAACAAAGUAUACCUUAGUUUUGUCAUCUUUACCAGCAUGGAGAACCUUCCCUCCCUCAGUUAUGGAGUCAGGAUCAUAGCUACUAGAGAAUCAAGCAGUUGGACUGUUUUUUUCCGGAACUGCUCUUCUGAUAUUUCGAGAUCAAAAUCUAUGGACCAAGACACCAGGCAAAGUAAAUUUUGAUGCAGCAAAUUUGCGAAAUGAUUUAAUUUGACAUUUAGUUGGAAAGUUAACAAAAGAUUACAAUAUAACGUUACACAUUGUUUAGCUCCUAAGGUCACCUGGUAAAGAAUUAGUCUUUCCAUUUUGGGCUAAACCAAACCACAUUUUUUAUUCAGACGACGUUUUUUAUUCACACACUAAUCAAAUAUCAAAGGAGGAUAACUUAGCAGAGUCUCUUGCACCAUGGUUGAGGUUCUCCAGACCACAUCUUUAUUGCCCGUUAGUCAUUGGCUAAUCCACCUAGCUUAGUAUUAUUGGUAGCACGACAGAAACAAUUUCAGGCAAAGUUUGACAGUUGCUGUUUUACAUCUAUCAUCAAGUUGCCAAGAGUUGCUGGAAUGGUCUUUUGGGCCCUAAAAACAUUCAUUUAAACCACAACAGAGUCUACUAUGCAAGGUAAUAUCCAGAAUGCACUAUUGGAUGAGCAAAUAUAAUCAAUUUAUUCCAUGAAACAGAAAAUGCUAGAGAAGUAACCUUGAAAUACUGACAUUUUAUAUGGACCUCAAUAACCACAUACUUACAUAUAUAUUUACGGAUAUUUUUGUCUUACAAGCAGUGUGUGGAGAAAACAAACCAAAAUUAAGGAUGAAACCAACGCAAAUCAAGAAAACAAAUCAAAAUCUAGGAUAAGUCUAUGGU